GGAUUAGAUACCCUGGUAGUCCACACCGUAAACGUUGGGCGCUAGGUGUGGGGUCCUUUCCACGGAUUCCGUGCCGUAGCUAACGCAUUAAGCGCCCCGCCUGGGGAGUACGGCCGCAAGGCUAAAACUCAAAGGAAUUGACGGGGGCCCGCACAAGCGGCGGAGCAUGCGGAUUAAUUCGAUGCAACGCGAAGAACCUUACCUGGGUUUGACAUACACCGGAAGCCUGCAGAGAUGUGGGUCUCUUUGAUACUGGUGUACAGGUGGUGCAUGGCUGUCGUCAGCUCGUGCUG
RNAcentral lists this ribosomal RNA (293 nucleotides) under uncultured bacterium. RNAcentral's name for it is "partial 16S ribosomal RNA". It matches the Rfam family "Bacterial small subunit ribosomal RNA", at positions 775 to 1067 of the family's 1533-position model. The record is from RNAcentral.